AUUCCAGCUCCAAUAGCGUAUAUUUAAGUUGUUGCAGUUAAAAAGCUCGUAGUCGGACUUUGGCUGAGAACGGUCGGUCCGCCGUUAGGUGUGCACUGACUGGUCUCAGCUUCCUGGUGAGGAGGUGUGCUUCACGGCCACUUAGUCACCGUGGUUACUUUGAAAAAAUUAGAGUGUUCAAAGCGGGCUUACGCUUGAAUAUAUUAGCAUGGAAUAACACCAUAGGACUCCUGUCCUAUUUCGUUGGUCUCGGGACGGGAGUAAUGAUUAAGAGGAACAGUUGGGGGCAUUCGUAUUUCAUUGUCAGAGGUGAAAUUCUUGGAUUUAUGAAAGACGAACUUCUGCGAAAGCAUUUGCCAAGGAUGUUUUCAUCG
This 374-nucleotide ribosomal RNA is filed under the name Ostreococcus sp. RNAcentral's name for it is "partial small subunit ribosomal RNA". It matches the Rfam family "Eukaryotic small subunit ribosomal RNA", at positions 582 to 975 of the family's 1831-position model. The record is from RNAcentral. Lineage: Eukaryota; Viridiplantae; Chlorophyta; Mamiellophyceae; Mamiellales; Bathycoccaceae.